CCUAUGGGGUGCAGCAGUCGCGAAAACUUCGCAAUGGGGGCAACCCCGACGAGGGAAUUCCAAGUGCUAGCACUUUGUGUUAGCUGUUCUUCUGUCUAAAAAACAGGAGGAGUAAGGGGCGGGUAAGACGGGUGCCAGCCGCCGCGGUAAUACCCGCGCCCCAAGUGGUGGUCGAUAUUAUUGAGCCUAAAACGUCCGUAGCCGGUCUUCUAAAUCCUUGGGUAAAUCGGGCAGCUUAACUGUCCGAAGUCCGGGGAGACUGGGAGACUUGGGACCGGGAGAGGUCAGAGGUACUUCUGGGGUAGGGGUAAAAUCCUGUAAUCCUGGAAGGACCACCGGUGGCGAAGGCGUCUGACUAGAACGGAUCCGACGGUGAGGGACGAAGCCCUGGGGCGCAAACGGGAUUAGAUACCCCAGUAGUCC
RNAcentral lists this ribosomal RNA (423 nucleotides) under uncultured Thermogymnomonas sp. RNAcentral describes it as "bacterial SSU rRNA". It matches the Rfam family "Archaeal small subunit ribosomal RNA", at positions 322 to 747 of the family's 1478-position model. The record is from RNAcentral. Lineage: Archaea; Methanobacteriati; Thermoplasmatota; Thermoplasmata; Thermoplasmatales.